AGAUUUGUUAGAGAAACAAGUAUAGGAUUUAUGUCUUACUUUACCACAUUUAAAGCAAGUAAUAUUUGAAAACUUGUUGCUUGAUGAGUUCGCAUAGAUAUUUUUAAAAAAAUUUUGUUUCUUUAAAGGGUUGUAGCCAAGACCGGCUUUAUCAUAAACGGCUUUUUGACUAUCAAAUAUCAUUUGAAGUUUAGUUGAACUA
This 202-nucleotide long non-coding RNA is filed under the name Elaeis guineensis (African oil palm). RNAcentral's name for it is "long non-coding RNA (EGUI_LNC061232)". The record is from RNAcentral. Lineage: Eukaryota; Viridiplantae; Streptophyta; Magnoliopsida; Arecales; Arecaceae.